RNAcentral lists this ribosomal RNA (382 nucleotides) under uncultured bacterium. RNAcentral describes it as "partial 16S ribosomal RNA". It matches the Rfam family "Bacterial small subunit ribosomal RNA", at positions 523 to 907 of the family's 1533-position model. The record is from RNAcentral.
AUACGGAGGAUCCGAGCGUUAUCCGGAUUUAUUGGGUUUAAAGGGAGCGUAGGCGGACGCUUAAGUCAGUUGUGAAAGUUUGCGGCUCAACCGUAAAAUUGCAGUUGAUACUGGGUGUCUUGAGUACAGUAGAGGCAGGCGGAAUUUGUGGUGUAGCGGUGAAAUGCUUAGAUAUCACGAAGAACUCCGAUUGCGAAGGCAGCCUGCUGGACUGUAACUGACGCUGAUGCUCGAAAGUGUGGGUAUCAAACAGGAUUAGAUACCCUGGUAGUCCACACAGUAAACGAUGAAUACUUGUUUUCGGCGAUAUAAUGUCGGAGGCAAAGCGAAAGCGAUAAGUAUUCCACCUGGGGAGUACGCCGGCAACGGUGAAACUCAAAUG